This 270-nucleotide ribosomal RNA is filed under the name uncultured archaeon. RNAcentral describes it as "partial 16S ribosomal RNA". It matches the Rfam family "Archaeal small subunit ribosomal RNA", at positions 477 to 747 of the family's 1478-position model. The record is from RNAcentral.
CAGCGCCCCAAGUGGCAAUCACGUUUAUUGGGCCUAAAGCAUCCGUAGCCGGCGCUGUAAGUUUUCGGUUAAAUCUGUACGCUCAACGUACAGGCUGCCGGGAAUACUGCAGCGCUAGGGAGUGGGAGAGGUAGACGGUACUCGGUAGGAAGGGGUAAAAUCAUUUGAUCUAUUGAUGACCACCUGUGGCGAAGGCGGUCUACCAGAACACGUCCGACGGUGAGGGAUGAAAGCUGGGGGAGCAAACCGGAUUAGAUACCCGAGUAGUCC